This 507-nucleotide non-coding RNA is filed under the name Colius striatus (speckled mousebird). Its description in RNAcentral is "Eukaryotic small subunit ribosomal RNA". It matches the Rfam family "Eukaryotic small subunit ribosomal RNA", at positions 624 to 1113 of the family's 1831-position model. Lineage: Eukaryota; Metazoa; Chordata; Aves; Coliiformes; Coliidae. The record is from Rfam by way of RNAcentral.
AAGGUCAGUUAGAGAAACUGUAAGAAAACAUUGUUGGCCAGACUGUUUUCUCCUGGAAUAGCUUCCACUGAAAAUAAUACUGCUACUACUGCUUUAAAAAAACAAAUCAGCAAAAACAAAUGCUGUGCACUCAUUGAGAAUUGUGUUCAAAGCUGGCUGGCCAACAGUGCACUCCAGCCAGGAAUAACAGAGUAAGACUCUGGCUCUUUUUUUGUUGUUUUUUGGAAGCAGAAUCAUGAUUAAAAGUAAUGGUUCAAAGUGUUCAUAUAGUGCCACUUGAAAUGAAAUUCUUGGACCAGUGUAAGAUUAACUAAGGCAAAAACAUUUGCCAAGAAUGUUUUCAUUAAUCAAGAACAAAAGCUGGAGGUUUGUGGUCAUAGAAUCAUAGAAUAGAAUCUUUUCAACUGGAAAAGACCUUUAAGAUCACUGAGUGGUCAACUCACUGUCUCGUGGUGUUAACUCCCGUCAUCUGUCAGGCAGCUGCUAGAAUGCUUAAGUCUUUGGGUU